RNAcentral lists this ribosomal RNA (1865 nucleotides) under Triticum aestivum (bread wheat). RNAcentral's name for it is "partial small subunit ribosomal RNA". The record is from RNAcentral. Lineage: Eukaryota; Viridiplantae; Streptophyta; Magnoliopsida; Poales; Poaceae.
CACUUUCCACUUUCUUCCUAUUCGCAACGCUCGUCGUGCCACUUUUGGAUUAGCGGUUAGGGGAAGGCAGUAGCGUAGAGCGGGUGAAGGAGGAGGGAAGCGGCGGCGGAGGGGAGGAGCGGAGAAGGGUACGAGAUGUGGUGGUGGUGGUGCGGGGACGAGGAUGUGGCGGAGCGGCGGCCGGCGGAGACGCGGACAAGCAGACGGGGGAGCCUUCCGUGGCUCAACGCCGGUCGGGCACGAGUCGGAGGCGGGUACGCGAGCUCUUCUCCCCUCCCCGUCGGCGUCCCAUCCUCGUCGGUGUUGUCAGCGGUCACGACGGAGUAGAUGGCGUGAAGUGCGGUGGUAGGUAGGUGGGCCACUUGACCUCUCCGUCUACUACUCGCAGCGGAGCAUAGAACCCCGACCUAGGGCUAAGACGGCGAGGUGCCGUACGGCAGGCGGAAAAGGAGGUGGAACACACCGACGAGACCAGCUGGAGAAGGAGUAACAUCCACGAGUUGUCCUCUUCGCGCUCGUCGGCCACGUCGGCUCUCAAGCGGACCAACGUCGAGCUGAAGUCGGUUGUAGUCGGAAACAACGACAAUGACAGGGUAAAACUCUUGGUUUCUUUAUGGCGGAAAGUCGAUCUACACACAAUCCACUUACGACGUCCGGUAAAACAAGUAACCGGGCCGUACUAAACCUAACGUAGUGGAUGUCUCAACAUCCAGACACACUAACUACUCGACCGAAUCCUUCCGUGUCAGCUAAUAAUAACGGAUAAAGAGGUAACUUUCGACGAUGAAGAAAGCAGAAUCUUCCAUGAACACACAUGUUACCUAUGAAAAUAACACUAAAAAGAAGAAACAGUACCUCUCAAACUUUGAUGAUAUGUAUAAUCAGAAAACGCUAAAGUGAAAGGAUUCGAGCUCGGCGUCGCAACCAGGUGCCGCGGCCGUGGUAGCAGUAGGCGUCAUUCUCACACCCGAUGUCUCUGCAGGCCGAGAGCGCGGUGGCAGACAGGUGGGCUCUCAUCCUAUACGUAAACUAGGUCAGGUACAGAACCAGAGAAAAACUUCACACAAAUCGGUACAAGAAGGAUGUACACAAGUUAGGCAGCUAUCGAUCGCUUACAACACGACACUGUUUCCACGUGAGGUCCUUUUUUUAAUAAGACGUUUCUUAGAAAUAGUUGUUUCGCGUAUCCCUUCUAACAGUCACAGUCGCUGGUUAAUAAAACAAGUCGUCCACAAGGGAAGUUUACUCCGAGGUCGUUCCCCUACGAUCGUCUAUAGUUGGCCAACCAACUAACACACGUGUAAGACAUUUCAGUUGAAUUUCGAAGUCGUACACACAAGUAACAGGAGAGGUAAAGUUUGUUUGGUAGUCGACAAAGAAAUUAUAAAAUAAUGAAUUAGUAUGACAUCUUAAACAAAGAGCCACUAGAUUUUGAAUAUCGGUAAUUCCCUUCGGGAACCAAACAUAAUCCAUGAACACGGUAACCCACGUUGAUAUACUUUUUAUCACUCUCUUACGACCAUCUUUAAUCGUCAUUACAUUAAUGUAUCUCUCUUCCAUGAGUGUACAGUGUAGUAUAAAGGGGUACGAGGAGAACUUAACGUUGUUGAUAACUUAAAUCAAAAUCAAGUUCGUAGAAAAAAAUACGACAGUUGUCACACAGUCAACCACGUCCUCCGUAGUGGGAUUCUUUGGCUCUAGGCGAUUAUACAUAAGACAUUGUUGUGAGUUCAGGAACUUUAUUUAUUCUACUCUUAAAUAAAUUUGUACUAUCCUAUAAUGGAUGAAAUUUAAGAGACUAUAUUACCAGUUGUAACUACCGUAUUUGUAAGCGAGUACCUAUCAAAGUUGUCUUAACAAUACUC